CUCUCCUCCCUCUCCCUCGCGCGCUCUCUCCCUCCCUCUGAGUCUCUCUCUGAAUAAUGAGCAACCAGAGGGAGAGAGAAAGCAAGACAGAAAGAGAGAAGGAAGACAAUCUUCUGCCACACAAAACGCCGGAGCACCAGGGGGUGCGCGAAGCCUUUCUAAUAACAACAACAACGUGCAGGAAGCAACACAGAGCCAGGCCAGUGAGAUGCAAGAGGAGGAGGUGGCGGUGGCGGCGGCGGCAGUGGAGAAGGAGGAGGUGGUGGAGGAGGAGGAAGAGGAGGAGAAGGAGGCAAAGGAGGAGGAGAAGGGGAAGAGGGAGAUGAGAUGAAUAAAGACCUGCGGAGAAGGCGGUGCGAGGAGCGCGGCCGCCGGGGCUGAGGCGUGCGCGCUCGCGUCCCGGAGGCGCCCGGCCAGGGCGGCCGGCGGAGGAAGCCCCCAGUGUGGACCCUGCCCCGCUGCACAUAGCGCUCCCACCAUCAGCCCUGCCCGAGGCUCCCGGCCCCACAGGGUCCCUCACAUGUAUCCAUCUAGAGGCCAAUCUUUGGAAAGAACAGACGCGGGGAACUGGAGGUUGCAAGUCUAAACCCAGAUCAACCACGUGGGGCUUUUUAAUUCCUUUCCAGCUUGCGGUGUGAGUAUUUCCAGUGAAAAGCUCAAGUUGUCCAUUACUGGCACGAAUUUUGAAGUCUUCCUCCCCGAAAUAAAGGCUCAUUGUACGUUU
Molecule: long non-coding RNA, 724 nt
Organism: Heterocephalus glaber (naked mole-rat)
Lineage: Eukaryota; Metazoa; Chordata; Mammalia; Rodentia; Bathyergidae
Source: RefSeq, a predicted model, not a curated record